GCAAAUUUUGCAGCUUAACUGUAAACAGUGCCGGUUGAUACUGUAGGGCUAGGGAUUUGGAUGCUGUGGGGUGGAAUGUGUGGUGUAGCGGUGUAAAUGCUUAGAUAUCACACAGAAUGAUCGGAUAGCGAAGGCAGCUCACACAGCCCAAGAUUGACGCUGAGGCACGCAAAGUGUGGUGAUCUAACAUGAUUAGCUACCCUGGUAGUCCACACUGUAAACGAUGAUAACUCGCUGCCGGCGAUACACAGUCGGUGGCCCAAGCGAAAAGCGAUAAGUUAUCCACCUGGGGAGUACGACCGCAAGGUUGAAACUCAAAGGAAUUGACGGGGGCCCGCACAAGCGGAGGAACAUGUGGUUUAAUUCGAUGAUACGCGAGGAACCUUACCCAGGCUCGAACGGUGCAUGAAUAUACAAGAGAUUGUAUAGUCCUUCGGGACAUGUAUCGAGGUGCUGCAUGGUUGUCGUCAGCUCGUGCCGUGAGGUGUCGGCUUAAGUGCCAUAACGAGCGCAACCCUUGUCAUUAGUUACCAUCAGGUCAAGCUGGGGACUCUAAUGAGACUGCCACCGUAAGGUGUGAGGAAGGGGGGGAUGACGUCAAAUCAGCACGGCCCUUAUGUCCGGGGCGACACACGUGUUACAAUGGGGGGUACAGAGGGCAGCCAUCCGGCGACGGAGCGCUAAUCUCAAAAACCCUUGUCAGUUCGGAUUGGAGUCUGCAACUCGACUCCAUGAAGUUGGAUUCGCUAGUAAUCGCGCAUCAGCCAUGGCGCGGUGAAUACGUUCCCGGGCCUUGUACACACCGCCCGUCAAGCCAUGGAAGCUUGGGGUGCCUGAAGUUAGUGACCGCAAGCAGCGACCUAG
Molecule: ribosomal RNA, 864 nt
Filed under: uncultured bacterium
Lineage: Bacteria
Description: bacterial SSU rRNA
Rfam family: Bacterial small subunit ribosomal RNA
Source: RNAcentral